Molecule: transfer RNA, 73 nt
Filed under: Cladonia borealis
Lineage: Eukaryota; Fungi; Ascomycota; Lecanoromycetes; Lecanorales; Cladoniaceae
Also listed under: 3 other names
Rfam family: tRNA
About the family: Transfer RNA (tRNA) molecules are approximately 80 nucleotides in length. Their secondary structure includes four short double-helical elements and three loops (D, anti-codon, and T loops).
Source: Rfam by way of RNAcentral
CGGGUUAGAGCCUGGUUGGUUGGGCGCCUCAUUUGGGAUGAGGAAUUUUUAUGUUCGAAUCAUAAUGACCCGA